CCUACGGGAGGCAGCAGUGGGGAAUAUUGCACAAUGGGGGAAACCCUGAUGCAGCGACGCCGCGUGAGUGAAGAAGUAUUUCGGUAUGUAAAGCUCUAUCAGCAGGGAAGAAAAUGACGGUACCUGAUUCAGAAGCACCGGCUAACUACGUGCCAGCAGCCGCGGUAAUACGUAGGGGGCAAGCGUUAUCCGGAUUUACUGGGUGUUAAGGGAGCGUAGACGGCAGGACAAGUCUGGAGUGAAAUGCUGGGGCUUAACCCCGGAACUGCUUUGGAAACUGUGCAGCUAGAGUGCAGGAGAGGUAGGUGGAAUUCGUGGUGUAGCGGUGAAAUGCGUAGAUAUUAGGAAGAACACCAGUGGCGAAGGCGGCUUACUGGACUGUAACUGACGUUGAGGCUCGAAAGCGUGGGGAGCAAACAGGAUUAGAUACCCCAGUAGUC
This 440-nucleotide ribosomal RNA is filed under the name uncultured bacterium. RNAcentral's name for it is "partial 16S ribosomal RNA". It matches the Rfam family "Bacterial small subunit ribosomal RNA", at positions 338 to 795 of the family's 1533-position model. The record is from RNAcentral.